GUUAAGAUUUUUUGUAAUGUUGAAUUCUCUCUUAUUAUAAGUAAUAGGAUAACUAUAUUUGGUAUGUGCGUACCUUGCAAGGUCCUCAUGUCCGUCAGACAGUUUUCACUUGACCUCGACCUCAUUUCAUGGAUCAGUGAACAAGGUUAAGUUUUGGUGGUCAAGUCCAUAUCUCAGAUACUAUAAGCAAUAGGUCUAGUAUAUUCGGUGUAUAGAAGGACUGUAAGGUGUACAUGUCCAACUGGCAGGUGUCAUCUGACCUUGACCUCAUUUUCA
This 276-nucleotide long non-coding RNA is filed under the name Mytilus galloprovincialis (Mediterranean mussel). The record is from RNAcentral. Lineage: Eukaryota; Metazoa; Mollusca; Bivalvia; Mytilida; Mytilidae.